AUAUAUAAGUUAUAAAGCCAGGUAAAAAUAAUAUAAAAUCAACAAACACUUACAAAUUAAAGCCUGUUUUCAGAUCGUUCCUUCAAUUUUCUCUGUCGAAGUUAGUGUGGAGAAGGUAAACGAAUCUGAUGUAUAGGUAACUAAACAAAGUGUAAAGAUGUGAACAAAUUAAAUGUGAAACUAGUGUACAUUACAUUUAACCAAAGGUAAACAUGUUUACUGUACACGGCGUUUGGUGUUAACACGGCCUUAGUCUGGUGUAGCAUGGCAGAUCUAAAAUAUACAUCAAAUGAUAUAUAAGUUAUCAAGCCAGAUAAAAAUAAUAUAGAAUUUCAGAUCGUUCCUUCAAUUUUCUCUGUCGAAGUUUGUGUGGAGAAGGUAAACUACUUUACCUUGGUUAUUUACUUUGCUAGAAAAAAGUACUGACCAAUUUUUUCUGCUUUUGUUUGAAUUUGAAACUAUUCUAUUAUGCA
RNAcentral lists this long non-coding RNA (473 nucleotides) under Mytilus galloprovincialis (Mediterranean mussel). The record is from RNAcentral. Lineage: Eukaryota; Metazoa; Mollusca; Bivalvia; Mytilida; Mytilidae.